RNAcentral lists this ribosomal RNA (1141 nucleotides) under uncultured organism. RNAcentral's name for it is "bacterial SSU rRNA". It matches the Rfam family "Bacterial small subunit ribosomal RNA", at positions 294 to 1468 of the family's 1533-position model. The record is from RNAcentral.
GAGAGCAUGGCCCCCCACAAUGGGACUGAGACACGGCCCAUACUCCUACGGGAGGCAGCAGCGGGGAAUAUUGCGCAAUGGACGGAAGUCAGACGCAGCGACGCCGCGUGGGUGAGGAAGGCCUUCGGGUUGUAAAGCCCUUUUCAGGGGAGCGAGAAAGGACGGUACCCUUGGAAUAAGCGUCGGCUAACUACGUGCCAGCAGCCGCGGUAAGACGUAGGACGCCAGCGUUAUCCGGAUUUACUGGGCGUAAAGCGCCUGUAGGCGGUCAAGUAAGUCGGAUGUGAAAGCCCCGUGCUCAACGCGGGGAAGCCAUUCGAUACUGCGUGACUAGAGAACGGCAGAGGGAAACGGAAUUUCUGGUGUAGCGGUAAAAUGCGCAGAGAUCAGAAAGAACACCGAUGGCGAAGGCAGUUUCCUAGGCCGCAUCUGACGCUGAGAGGCGAAAGCUAGGGGAGCAAACAGGAUUAGAGACCCUGGUAGUCCUAGCUGUAAACGAUGGAUGCUAGGUGUGGGCCGGAAAGGUCCGUGCCGUAGUUAACGCGAUAAGCAUCCCGCCUGGGGAGUACGGCCGCAAGGCUAAAACUCAAACGAAUUGACGGGGACCCGCACAAGCAGCGGAGCGUGUGGUUUAAUUCGAUGCUACACGCAGAACCUUACCUGGGCUUGACAUGUAGGUGGUAGUGAAGUGAAAGCGGAGCGACCCUUCGGGGAGCCUACACAGGUGCUGCAUGGCUGUCGUCAGCUCGUGCCGUGAGGUGUCGGGUUAAGUCCCGUAACGAGCGCAACCCUUGUCCUUAGUUACAAGUGUCUAAGGAGACUGCCGGUGACAAACCGGAGGAAGGUGGGGAUGACGUCAAGUCAGCAUGGCCCUUAUGUCCAGGGCGACACACACGCUACAAUGGUCGGUACAAUGGGCAGCGCAGCCGCGAGGUGAAGCGAAUCCCAACAAAGCCGAUCCCAGUUCGGAUUGCAGGCUGCAACCCGCCUGCAUGAAGCCGGAGUUGCUAGUAACCGCGCGUCAGCCAUAGUGCGGUGAAUACGUUCCCGGGUCUUGUACACACCGCCCGUCACGUCAUGGGAGUUGGUAACGCCUGAAGCCGGUAGUCUGACCUAACGGAGACGCCGUCGAAGGCGGGAC